AACCUGGUUGAUCCUGCCAGUAGUCAUAUGCUUGUCUCAAAGACUAAGCCAUGCAUGUCUAAGUAUAAACGCUUCUAUACUGUGAAACUGCGAAUGGCUCAUUAAAUCAGUUAUAGUUUAUUUGAUGGUUUCUUACUACUUGGAUAACCGUGGUAAUUCUAGAGCUAAUACAUGCACAAAGUCCCGACUCUUCGGAAGGGAUGUAUUUAUUAGAUCCAAAACCAAUGCGAGUCUCUCGGGGCUCGGUUCCUUGGUGAUUCAUGAUAACUGCUCGAACCGUAUGGCCCUUGCGCCGACGGUGCUUCAUUCAAAUUUCUGCCCUAUCAACUUUCGAUGGUACGGUAGUGGCCUACCAUGGUUGCAACGGGUGACGGAGAAUUAGGGUUCGAUUCCGGAGAGGGAGCCUGAGAAACGGCUACCACAUCCAAGGAAGGCAGCAGGCGCGCAAAUUACCCAAUCCCGACUCGGGGAGGUAGUGACAAUAAAUAACAAUGCCGGGCUAUUGUAGUCUGGCAAUUGGAAUGAGUACAAUCUAAAUCCCUUAACGAGGAACAAUUGGAGGGCAAGUCUGGUGCCAGCAGCCGCGGUAAUUCCAGCUCCAAUAGCGUAUAUUAAAGUUGUUGCAGUUAAAAAGCUCGUAGUUGGAUUUCGGGGUGGCCUGCCUGGUCCACCGCAAGGUGAGUACUGGUCAGCCGCCCUUCCUCUCGAAAGCCCCGACUGCUCUUUACUGCAGUGGUCGGGUAGUUCGGGACGUUUACUUUGAAAAAAUUAGAGUGUUCAAAGCAGGCUAUCGCCUGAAUACAUUAGCAUGGAAUAAUGGGAAGAGGACCUCGGUCCUAUUUUGUUGGUUUCUAGGGCCGAAGUAAUGAUUAAGAGGGACAGUUGGGGGGCAUUCGUAUUUAAUUGUCAGAGGUGAAAUUCUUGGAAUUUAUGAAAGACGAACUAGUGCGAAAGCAUUUG
Molecule: ribosomal RNA, 960 nt
Filed under: Halichondria panicea
Lineage: Eukaryota; Metazoa; Porifera; Demospongiae; Suberitida; Halichondriidae
Description: SSU rRNA
Rfam family: Eukaryotic small subunit ribosomal RNA
Source: RNAcentral